RNAcentral lists this unclassified non-coding RNA (179 nucleotides) under uncultured fungus. RNAcentral describes it as "sequence contains ITS1, 5.8S rRNA gene". Lineage: Eukaryota; Fungi. The record is from RNAcentral.
AAGAGUAAGGGUGCUCAGCGCCCGACCUCCAACCCUUUGUUGUUAAAACUACCUUGUUGCUUUGGCGGGACCGCUCGGUUCCGAGCCGCUGGGGAUUCGUCCCAGGCGAGCGCCCGCCAGAGUUAAACCAAACUCUUGUUAUUAAACCGGUCGUCUGAGUUAAAAUUUUGAAUAAAUCA